GGAGCGGCGGCCGUUGGGGCGCGCGCGCGCUCGCGCCGGCGGCACCUCCCGUCCUCCGCCGUCCCCUCCCUCAGUCCCGCUCGGCGGCCGCCGCGGCAGCACCCGCGGAGCCGGAGCCGCUCUGGGUAGCGCUGCCUCAUCCUCCUCUUCCUCCUCAGCUCCGCUAUCCCCCGGGCACGAUGCAGUUUAUGUUGCUUUUUAGUCGCCAGGGGAAACUGAGACUCCAGAAGUGGUAUGUCCCAUUAUCUGACAAAGAAAAGAAGAAAAUCACAAGGGAACUUGUUCAAACGGUAUUAGCCCGCAAACCGAAAAUGUGCAGUUUCCUCGAAUGGAGAGACCUGAAGAUUGUCUACAAAAGAUAUGCAAGUCUCUAUUUCUGCUGUGCUAUUGAAGAUCAGGACAAUGAACUAAUAACUCUGGAAAUAAUUCAUCGCUAUGUAGAACUUCUUGACAAGUAUUUUGGCAGUGUAUGUGAACUUGAUAUCAUCUUCAAUUUUGAAAAAGCCUAUUUCAUUCUGGAUGAGUUCCUUUUAGGAGGGGAAGUUCAGGAGACUUCCAAGAAAAAUGUUCUUAAAGCCAUCGAACAAGCAGAUCUUUUACAGGAGAGCCAGAAUGAAGACUGGGGAGGUUUGUCUGAGGAUAUCUUAUGAUUAAGAGCAUUCUAAGGCAUUAGCCUUUUUGACCCCCAUCUAAAUGAUUGCCACGACAUGAAUACUUUAAUGUGCCAGUGUACUAAAUGGCUUCAUUCAUCAUGCAUGCAGAGUUUCAGAGGAGAUAGACCUGUGACUUACUCAUGACAGAACAUUAUCAUCAGCUUGCUGAAUCCAGUCAUCUUGAAUCUAAUAGAAUGCCACAACCAUUCUCUAUUGUUGUACUUUCCUCUUCCCCCUCUGUUUUACAGUGUUGUCUCUUCAUGUCUCAUUUCAACAAAACUUGUGCUUGUUGGCAUAUGGUUUAACUUUUUUAUUGUGUGUAAGCUUGAAGUCUUAUGCUUAAAAGUUCUGUAGCAUUUUCUGAGCUAAACAUCUAUAUACUGUAACACCUUACUGUAACAUUACUCAACCUGUGUUUAUCUUUCAAAUAGGUUGUGGUGGUAUUUAAACAUACACUUAAAACCUGUUCGUGAGGUUCAUACUUAACAGAGAAACCAGUGAAGGAGUAGUAUCAUGUGAAAUGUGUAUACACACAAGUAUUACAUGGUGUUAUACACAGUUCUACACAGACCGUUAUCACAAAGAUGCAAAUACCAAUACUCUUUUCUGAAGACUGGCACAAUAGUGUGACUGACUUUACAAAGAGGAGAAAGGCAGAAUUGAUUAGGUCAAAGAGAAUGACUUAGAUAAAUUUGGAGCUAGAACAUUUGUAUUUAAAUGUUCAAAACACUCUUGUGAGUAGUUGAACGGUUGCUGCCACUGAAGGUGAGAGUAAGAUCAUUGCUUUACAAAUGAAUAAUAGAAUCAUAGAAUCAUCAAAGUUGGAAAAGACCUCUAAGAUCACUGAGUCCAACCAUUAAUGGUUAGGGUUGGAAAGAUCUAAGUCCAUUAACAGUAUACUUGAAAUAUAUCUUUUUAAAUUGGCAUUUCCAGAUUUAAGUGCAGGCUGCCUUGUGUAUCCGAGAACUGCCACUGCACGUAAGUGCAUUCAGUUGAAAAGUGGGCAGAGUGAGAGGGCAUGUAUUGCAUCCUCUGUUUGUAACCUAAAACCAAUGCUGGUUUUGAAAAUUGUUUUAGUGUAAUUAACAAGGAAGUGGUUACUGAUAUUAACCACAAACAGUAGUUCUAUAUGUGGUAAUGCACUACCUUCCAAAUGUUAAACUGACAUAAAAAUGGGAGAUUUAGGGUAUUAGACAAAAGAUUUGAAUUGGAUUUGCAGCAUUCUGGAAUCUUAGAAAACAAGAUCAUAGGAGUGGUUUUCCAUUUCCAAGUUUGCCUUUUUUUCUGUAAGCCAUUAACAAUGUGUUUGGAUGUCUGGUUAAUGCUGCUUUAGCCUGCAUUAUUUCAUGCCUGUUGGCUUAAAAUGCUGUGCAUUGAGCUGUAAUGAGAUGCUGUUUUUCUUGUUAUCUGUAUACAGCUGCUUGCUUCUAAAUGACUAGGUAAUGAAUUGGCUUUUCUGGCAUGUUUGAAAUAAAGUAUUGCAUGCACUUUUGUCUCAUGUGAAUGACUUUUUUCCUCAUCUGUGUUCUGAUAUUUCAAAUUUGCAUUGUUUGCCUUGGGUGAUUUUGAGCUGCAGGUAGUGUAUAAUACUGCAGAACAUUUUCCAUAAGAAUUGGAUGAGAUGUUUGACACUUACUAAAACAAAUAAUGUGAACAAAACAUAAUAUAAUUCAUUCUGUUUGUUUCUUAAAAGUCAUAAUUGAUGAAAUUAUUCCUCUAGCAAAACACAUUACCCUUUAGGUGUUCCUUGGGAUUAUAUUGUUGAUGAGCCUAUAAGAAGGCAUGACUGCUUCAAGGUUACUGCUGUAGUAUUAAAAAAAUUAAAAUAUUACUGUAUUUUAUGGGUGAGAUAUCUGCGGACAAGUAGCCAAUGUCCUUGAAAUAGGUUGCUUUCAGUUGUUAGCCAAUGACCUUGAUUUACUUGAAGAAAUUUAGUCAUUUAAGUAUAUACCUGCUGAAAAUCACCUAUGACUUUGAAUUGGCAGUGGAGACAACAAUACUAAACUGCUCUAAAGACAGCAGCAGCAAUGCUCUGUAUUUCUUCAUAGCUAUUGAGAAGUUUGUUUUGAGGCAAUUUUGUAAAUACCGUUUCACCCCUCAGUAACUCAAGUGUCCACUGCUGUCUAAUCAAUUUAAAACUGAAAAGUGGAUCUAUUACAAAUAUUUUCAAGACCCUAAAAUGCUUGAGAAGGUAUGUUCUGUUAGAAUACCCUAAGUUCUGUUGCCAUAGUUAGUUAGCAAUGUAGGAUUUCUUGAGUAAAACCCUUAGGUUGGUGGAUAGAGGAGAUGUGUGUCUUCUAAAACGAAUGCAACAAAGUAAUCUGGGAAUAUAAUAGAACAAGUUAUAUUAAAAAUGCUACAUAGCCAUUUCUUCAGUCAGUGUCUCCUUUUGGGGGAUUUGUGUUAAAAUACACAUGUAAAUCUUUAAUCCUGCUAUCCUGUCUGGCUUUAUCAAGGUCACUGCAGUUCUAAGAAUAUUUAAGUAUUGCAUCAGUGAGGGGAAAAAAAACCAAGCCAUCACUACAUCUUUAAUACACCAAGUAUCUUGUUUCCAGAUUUAACUUGCCUUUUUCUUGCAAUUUCUUACUUGCUGCUGGAUUUUGGAAGCCAUCUAAAAGUGUUCAGAGGAGGCCUGUUCCAAGCUCUGACUGACUGUUAAAUGAAGUUGCCUUUAAAGUAUCAGAGCUUGUUCCUUCUCUGCUGAAUCACCUUAUACAUGAAUAAGGAUACUAAACUUGAUCAUUUUGUGCUACAUAGUCAAGGUUGAGAGAGAGACAAUGUUUGGAUGUUAUUUGCAAGAUUUGAAGUGUUUCAUUAUGUAUUUUACUGACAACUUUUUUCUAAUAAAUAUUUACAAAGAGUUGAAAAAUAAUUUGUUGGCUGCCUUAACUGUUAUCUGCCUUUUUUUCUGCUGCAUGACAUGUCUUGUUUUAGGAUGCUAAAGAAGCAGAGACCCCUCGUAGUGUACUUGAAGAAAUCGGAUUGACAUAAAUCUUCAGCUGAUGCCAUCUCAGUGUUUCAUACUGUAAAUGUUCACUGCCAUCAUUGUAAUGUUUAGCUAAUGGUGUAAGAUGCUGUUUGUCAGUAUUACUGUUUUGCUAAGCUGCUUCUUUCAGGCCUACAAGAAAAAAUACUUCUUUUUAAAAAGGGAACAAGAAACCGAAGUUCUAAAUUUAUAAUGAAAGGGAAUUAGAUUUAAAUUGACUCAGUGUCUCCCUUCACUGCAUUUAUAGGAAAAUUGCAUUUGACUUCGAUAAGUUUACUGUUUUUUAUAAGGAAACUUGACUUCAGGAAAUAAAUGUAUUAUUAUGACAUAGCAUAGCAUAUCUAAAUGAAAAGAAACUACACAGACAACUCCAAAUAUGAAAUGUCAUGGUGUGGAAAUUGUGUUUAUGCAACCAAAGAAUUUGUUCAUCUACAUUUUAGUCACCACUUAUGAUAAUUCUGCUUAUUUCAGUUGUUGCAUAAAGAAUGGAAAUAUCUGUUAACUACUGAAUUUGUCAUUAUACCAAAGAAUCCUGCCAGGAUCUACAUAUCAAACUGGUAAACACUGUUAAGGUGAUAACUGCUUUUUGCAAGAAAACUGCAAAGUGAUUCGCUCACUAGACGUGAGGGUGUAUUUUAGUGUAGCUACCUUUAGCAAAACUGUACAAGUUACUAUACUCAAAAGGGAAUGCAUGGAGGAAAGAAGGAAAAAAACUCAAAUAAGGAAACUGGUUUUAGGUCUGAUAUUAGCUUUCUCUGACCAUGAACACAGGAAAGGAGGUCAGCUUUCUGACUGAAUAGAGGGAUUUGCAUGAUGAAAAUCGAAUACUUUCAAAGAUGGGGAAGAUGGAGUUUUACAAAAGGGACUUUUUAUUAUUUUCUUUCCAAGUUUACCAAUUACUUGUAUUUUUAGUGUUUUAUAGUUAAGCUUCAAUGGGUGUAUAGGUACCUGUAGGAAAAAGAAAAGGCCACACUAAGUGUCAAUGUCAUUUAACUGCUUUUCUUGAUUUACACCUUAAACAUGGCACAUCCCUUAGGAAACUCCUGCGUGAUGUACAGUUGAACCAACUAAUUUGCAGUGAGAGCUCUUAGGUAUUAGAUUUGUAUAGUAUAUUCAUUGCAAAUGUAAACUGAUAUCCAGUAAUAUUUUGACACUUUGAGCAGACUUUCAGUAAUUAUAAACUAAACCUGCUUUGAUUGAGGAAAUUCCACUGACGUGUGGUUUUGAGGAGGUAGGGCUGCACUUGGGAGCUGCUAAGUUCUGCUGUGUGUCUUCAUGCUCCCCGUGGAGGUGGGAUCAUCCCCUCCCUCCCCAGGAAUCUCACUCUAGGAGCUGUGGCUCGUUCACUGCAUAGUGCCACAUUUUCACAAAGCUUGGCUCUGGCAGUGCUGAUGGCAGCAGCACUUCCGUGGCCAGCUGGAGAGCUGGGCUGUGGGCUCGAUGGGAUCACAGUGAAGUGGCACCCAGCAGGAAAAGUGCAGUGUUGCCACUUUCAAGGCCCCUGAUCCAGAUCCCAGCAUAAAUGCUUGUGGCAACAGAAAGGCCAGCCAGGGCAGGGCUGUGUGUGCUACUCCUGUGGCAGUACCGGGGUGGUGCCUGUGAACUUGGGGCAUUAGAAGUUGUCUACUUACGCCCGUUCUAGGAUUUACACUUAGAGAUUCCACAUUGCAUGAGACUUUUUUUGUCCCAGGGCAUCUCCCCAGUGCACAGUGGGCAGGAAUAGAUGAGGGUGAAAUCGCAGUGGAAUGACCCUGUGUGUGAGAUUGACUUAAAUUAAGGUAAUUUUACUUCAAACCAGAAGCAAUUUUAUAUGUAUUAAACAUGUUUUUAAAGUUUACACUGUCACUUGUAUGUGCUUGGCUGAAUUAAGCUUUCUUGUGAUUGUGAUAAACUGUUUGACCUCUGUCUGUCACAUUGGUUUAGUUGUAAUAAAUGUCCAUUUUUACACCAUU
RNA transcript from Pseudopipra pipra, 5591 nucleotides. It is a transcript of the gene named adaptor related protein complex 1 subunit sigma 2, with no coding region annotated. Lineage: Eukaryota; Metazoa; Chordata; Aves; Passeriformes; Pipridae. The transcript has 7 exons. The record is from RefSeq and is a predicted model, not a curated record.